ACGCAUGCAAGUCGAACGAAGUAGCAAUACUUAGUGGCAGACGGGUGAGUAACAUGUGGGUAUCUGCCCUUUGGCCUGGAAUAACACGAGGAAACUUGUGCUAAUACCGGAUAAGUCUUUACGGAGAAAGCUUUAUGCACCAUUGGAUGAGCCUGCACUUGAUUAGUUUGUUGGUGGGGUAAUGGCCUACCAAGACUGUGAUCAAUAGCUGAUUUGAGAGGAUGAUCAGCCACAUUGGGACUGAGACACGGCCCAAACUCCUACGGGAGGCAGCAGUGGGGAAUCUUGCACAAUGGAGGAAACUCUGAUGCAGCGAUGCCGCGUGAGUGAAGAAGGCCCUUGGGUUGUAAAGCUCUUUCGUCGGGGAAGAAAAUGACUGUACCCGAAUAAGAAGGUCCGGCUAACUUCGUGCCAGCAGCCGCGGUAAUACGAAGGGACCUAGCGUAGUUCGGAAUUACUGGGCUUAAAGAGUUCGUAGGUGGUUGAAAAAGUUAGUGGUGAAAUCCCAGAGCUUAACUCCGGAACUGCCAUUAAAACUUUUCAGCUAGAGUAUGAUAGAGGAAAGCAGAAUUUCUAGUGUAGAGGUGAAAUUCGUAGAUAUUAGAAAGAAUACCAAUUGCGAAGGCAGCUUUCUGGAUCAUUACUGACACUGAGGAACGAAAGCAUGGGUAGCGAAGAGGAUUAGAUACCCUCGUAGUCCAUGCCGUAAACGAUGUGUGUUAGACGUUGGAAAUUUAUUUUCAGUGUCGCAGGGAAACCGAUAAACACACCGCCUGGGGAGUACGACCGCAAGGUUAAAACUCAAAUGAAUUGACGGGGACCCGCACAAGUAGUGGAGCAUGUGGUUUAAUUCGAAGAUACGCGCAGAACCUUACCAACACUUGACAUGUUCGUCGCGACUCUAAGAGAUAGAGUUUCGGUUCGGCCGGACGAA
This 934-nucleotide ribosomal RNA is filed under the name uncultured marine bacterium. RNAcentral describes it as "bacterial SSU rRNA". It matches the Rfam family "Bacterial small subunit ribosomal RNA", at positions 51 to 1032 of the family's 1533-position model. The record is from RNAcentral.